GUGGCUUCAAAAUGGAAUAUGACGAUAAUAUCUUAUAGAUAUGUAUAAAUGUUAGAGAACUAGGAUGAUCGUUUGGACCUGAUGCCUGACAAACCAUUCCAAAAAAUUGCUGAAAUAAAAAAAAGAGAAACCUUAAAUUAAAUUGUAUAACGAUAACCAAUUAACUACUGAAUAUUAUACAAAUGUGGAGCAUCUGAAAAAAAAAUAGAUUCUACGUUACCUAUCCAUUGGGUGUUUAAUACUAUUUUUAAGAUUUUCUUUUGUUCCAUUUAUUCCAAAUUCUUUCCAUAAUUUUCUAUUGGAAGAACCAGCAUCAGAAACAAUACCAUCAAUCAUAACACCAGCAUUUUCAAGCAAUGAUACUGCCUUUAUAACUAAUUGUUUACCAUCACCGGUCCUUUUGAACAAAAUACUGCAAUAGGCUGAGUAAUGUUUGACCCAAGACUUUGAAACAUCAUUACGAGUCUGUGAUCUGCCUUUUCACCUGUGUUCAAAGAAGGUUCAUCAUUACCAAAAUGUUCUAAUCCAGAAUAUGUUAGGGUCUUUGAGUUGACACUAAUACUCUGAUGUAAGAAAAUUUCAUCAAAUAAGAGCAUUCCGUGUUUUUCAUUUUCAUUUAAUAAAGAUAAUUUUUUUUUAAAUAUCUUGAAAAAAUUGUCAUCAAAACCAUAAUUUGUUUUCGUCAUUGAUAAAUAUCUUCGAAUAGUUCGAGAUGAUGGUAAUGGCAAUAUACCCUGGUUUCUUAAGAAAUUGUAAGUUGAAGAUGAUCUAUAUAAAUAAAUUAAUGAUAAUCAUUAUCA
Molecule: long non-coding RNA, 800 nt
Organism: Aphis gossypii (cotton aphid)
Lineage: Eukaryota; Metazoa; Arthropoda; Insecta; Hemiptera; Aphididae
Exons: 4
Source: RefSeq, a predicted model, not a curated record